CAAGACGUAGCUAUAACAUAAAGCAUUUAGCUUACACCUAAGAGAUAUCUGCUACCCACAGGUCGUCUUGA
RNAcentral lists this transfer RNA (71 nucleotides) under Ciconia nigra (black stork). Its description in RNAcentral is "tRNA-Val". The record is from RNAcentral. Lineage: Eukaryota; Metazoa; Chordata; Aves; Ciconiiformes; Ciconiidae.